Molecule: ribosomal RNA, 433 nt
Filed under: uncultured bacterium
Lineage: Bacteria
Description: partial 16S ribosomal RNA
Rfam family: Bacterial small subunit ribosomal RNA
Source: RNAcentral
AACGAACGCUGGCGGCAUGCCUAACACAUGCAAGUCGAACGAGACCUUCGGGUCUAGUGGCGCACGGGUGCGUAACGCGUGGGAACCUUCCCUUAUGUUCGGAAUAACUCCCCGAAAGGGGUGCUAAUACCGGAUAAUGUCUUCUGACCAAAGAUUUAUCGCCUUUGGAUGUUCCCGCGUUGGAUUAGCUAGUUGGUAGGGUAAUAGCCUACCAAGGCGACGAUCCAUAGCUGGUCUGAGAGGAUGAUCAGCCACACUGGGACUGAGACACGGCCCAGACUCCUACGGGAGGCAGCAGUGGGGAAUAGUGGACAAUGGGCGAAAGCCUGAUCCAGCAAUGCCGCGUGAGUGAUGAAGGCCUUAGGGUUGUAAAGCUCUUGUACCCGGGAUGAUAAUGACAGUACCGGGAGAAUAAGCUCCGGCUAACUCCGUG